CCUACGGGUGGCAGCAGUAGGGAAUCUUUCACAAUGGGCGAAAGCCUGAUGGAGCAACGCCGCGUGCAGGAUGAAGGCCUUCGGGUUGUAAACUGCUUUUAUCAGCGAGAAAUAUGAUGGUAACUCAUGAAUAAGGAUCGGCUAACUACGUGCCAGCAGCCGCGGUCAUACGUAGGAUCUGAGCAUUAUCCGGGGUGACUGGGUGUAAAGAGUUGCGUAGGUGGCAUAAUAAGUAGCUAGUGUAAUCUGGUGGCUCAACCAUUCAGACUAUUAGCUAAACUGUUAAGCUCGAGACCGUUAGGGGUAACUGGAAUUUCUAGUGUAGGAGUGAAAUCCGUAGAUAUUAGAAGGAACACCAAUAGCGUAGGCAGGUUGCUGGGACGGUUCUGACACUAAGGCACGAAAGCGUAGGGAGCAAACGGGAUUAGAUACCCCGGUAGUC
This 442-nucleotide ribosomal RNA is filed under the name uncultured bacterium. Its description in RNAcentral is "partial 16S ribosomal RNA". It matches the Rfam family "Bacterial small subunit ribosomal RNA", at positions 338 to 795 of the family's 1533-position model. The record is from RNAcentral.